CUUACACAUGCAAGUCGAACGGGCUCUUCGGAGCUAGUGGCGGACGGGUGAGUAACGCGUGAGAAUCUGCCUUCAGGAGGGGGAUAACGACUGGAAACGGUCGCUAAUACCCCAUAUGCCUCCGGGUGAAAAGUAAUUCGCCUGAAGAUGAGCUCGCGUCAGAUUAGCUAGUUGGUGGGGUAAGAGCCUACCGAGGCGACGAUCUGUAGCUGGUCUGAGAGGAUGAUCAGCCACACUGGGACUGAGACACGGCCCAGACUCCUACGGGAGGCAGCAGUGGGGAAUUUUCCGCAAUGGGCGCAAGCCUGACGGAGCAAGACCGCGUGGGGGAUGACGGCCUAAUGGUUGUAAACCCCUUUUCUCUGGGAAGAAGACUGACGGUACCAGAGGAAUCAGCCUCGGCUAACUCCGUGCCAGCAGCCGCGGUAAUACGGAGGAGGCAAGCGUUAUCCGGAAUUAUUGGGCGUAAAGCGUCCGUAGGUGGUUAUUCAAGUCUGCUGUCAAAGCGUGGGGCUUAACUCCAUAGAGGCAGUGGAAACUGAGUGACUAGAGUGCGGUAGGGGUCGAGGGAAUUCCCAGUGUAGCGGUGAAAUGCGUAGAUCUUGGGAAGAACACCAGUGGCGAAAGCGCUCGACUGGGCCUGCACUGACACUGAGGGACGAAAGCUAGGGGAGCGAAAGGGAUUAGAUACCCCUGUAGUCCUAGCCGUAAACGAUGGAUACUAGGUGUUGCUCGUCAUCGACCCGAGCAGUGCCGUAGCCAACGCGUUAAGUAUCCCGCCUGGGGAGUACGCUCGCAAGAGUGAAACUCAAAGGACUUGACGGGGGCCCGCACAAGCGGUGGAGUAUGUGGUUUACUUCGAUGCAACGCG
Molecule: ribosomal RNA, 871 nt
Filed under: uncultured organism
Description: bacterial SSU rRNA
Rfam family: Bacterial small subunit ribosomal RNA
Source: RNAcentral